GACGAACGCUGGCGGCGUGCCUAAUACAUGCAAGUCGAACGCUGAAGGAGGAGCUUGCUUCUCUGGAUGAGUUGCGAACGGGUGAGUAACGCGUAGGUAACCUGCCUUGUAGCGGGGGAUAACUAUUGGAAACGAUAGCUAAUACCGCAUAAUAGUAGAUGUUGCAUGACAUUUGCUUAAAAGGUUCAAUUGCAUCACUACCAGAUGGACCUGCGUUGUAUUAGCUAGUUGGUGGGGUAACGGCUCACCAAGGCGACGAUACAUAGCCGAACUGCGAGGGGGAUCGGCCACACUGGGAAUGAGACACGGCCCAGACUCCUACGGGAGGCAGCAGUAGGGAAUCUUCGGCAAUGGACGGAAGUCUGACCGAGCAACGCCGCGUGAGUGAAGAAGGUUUUCGGAUCGUAAAGCUCUGUUGUAAGAGAAGAACGAGUGUGAGAGUGGAAAGUUCACACUGUGACGGUAUCUUACCAGAAAGGGACGGCUAACUACGUG
Molecule: ribosomal RNA, 495 nt
Filed under: uncultured bacterium
Lineage: Bacteria
Description: partial 16S ribosomal RNA
Rfam family: Bacterial small subunit ribosomal RNA
Source: RNAcentral